Molecule: ribosomal RNA, 449 nt
Filed under: uncultured bacterium
Lineage: Bacteria
Description: partial 16S ribosomal RNA
Rfam family: Bacterial small subunit ribosomal RNA
Source: RNAcentral
AACGAACGCUGGCGGCAUGCCUAACACAUGCAAGUCGAACGAGAUCUUCGGGUCUAGUGGCAGACGGGUGAGUAACGCGUGGGAACGUACCUUUUGGUUCGGAAUAACGAUUGGAAACGAUCGCUAAUACCGGAUAGCCUCGAGAGAGGAAAGAUUUAUCGCCAAGAGAGCGGCCCGCGUUAGAUUAGGUAGUUGGUGGGGUAAUGGCCUACCAAGCCUGCGAUCUAUAGCUGGUCUGAGAGGAUGAUCAGCCACACUGGGACUGAGACACGGCCCAGACUCCUACGGGAGGCAGCAGUGGGGAAUAUUGGACAAUGGGGGAAACCCUGAUCCAGCAAUGCCGCGUGAGUGAUGAAGGCCUUCGGGUUGUAAAGCUCUUUUACCUGUGAAGAUAAUGACUGUAGCAGGGGAAUAAGCUCCGGCUAACUUCGUGCCAGCCGCCGCCGUAA